This 1194-nucleotide long non-coding RNA is filed under the name Marmota monax (woodchuck). The record is from RNAcentral. Lineage: Eukaryota; Metazoa; Chordata; Mammalia; Rodentia; Sciuridae.
GAUUCCAUUAUGCUUGUAUAUUAUUGUUCAUUCUUGGAAUAAGUGUACAUAAGUGUUAUAUAUGUGCAUGUAUGCAUGUGUAUUUGUGAUACUGUUCAAGCAUUUUCUCAGAGACGAUCAAAAGCUGAAACUAGUCUCUAGAUGUUUUAGUUGGGACUCCCUCAAAAUAGAGCCUCAGACAAGAUUGGUAUGUGAGUCAUCUAUUCAGGAAUAAACAGGGAAGGAAGGAGAAUCAAUACAAAUAUAUGCUAUUGAGUUGGGCAUUGCAAGAAGUUUCUUAUCACUCAAUCCUUGGAGUUUUUUGUUUUUAGUUGUAGAUGGACACAAUAUCUUAUUUAUUUAUAUGUGGUGCUGAGAAUUGAACCCAGGGUCUCACACCUUCGAGGCAAGUGCUCUACCACUGAGCUACAGCCCCAGCCCAAUCCUCUGGAAUUUCUGAGAAAUCUUAUGGAAUGCUCUCAGAACUCCCUCCUGAGGAAUGGAGGACAGAAGCAUAUAUCUGCCAGCUUUUGACCUCUAUUGUCAAUUAUCACCUGGCUAGGCAUUAGCUCUGUAGUUAACAUGCAUCGAUGUGCAAUGUUUCCUAGAGGAGUCUCCUGUUGCGUAGUUAAAGCAGCCCUGAGGCAAAACUGAGAUGGUUUGGGAUAUAGAGUAUAAGUUUGAGGCAAGGUUCUGACAAGUUAUAUUUGACAACCACUACUAAAUAGUUUACUGAGGUAAACCAUUGCUGUAAGUAUGGUUCUAAGCGUUUAAGACCAAAAGUAUUUGAAGUAGUGCUUAAGAGAUGUUCAACACCCUAGGAUAGAAGGAUGUAAGGCCUGGUCCUUACCAUACUGGAGUUGGUGUGAAGAGACUGGGAAUAAUCUGGGUUUAGAGGGGUUUGUAGUAGGCUACAACAUAGAUUACCCAUAUAUAGUGUUAUUUAAUAUUGAAUGACCCAGAUAUUGUAAAGUAUACCAAUGUCAAUCUGUUGAGUCAUGAUAGAUUAUAUCCUUGUGGAUAGAAAUAAAUAUUCCUAUUUCAUGGUGAUCAGCAACUGAAGGAAAAAUUUAUCAAGCUCUCAGGGAAACUUUUGAAAGCCCAUUUCAUUGACUUGAGGUUAGACAGUAGCACCCCAACACCCACCUCCAACUCUGAGACUAUGAAAACUAACAGUCUCUCCCAAGAAAAUUUCCUCACACAUCUUUGAUCCUU